Xyrauchen texanus (razorback sucker) is the source of this 641-nucleotide long non-coding RNA. RefSeq lists it as uncharacterized. Lineage: Eukaryota; Metazoa; Chordata; Actinopteri; Cypriniformes; Catostomidae. The transcript is spliced from 3 exons. The record is from RefSeq and is a predicted model, not a curated record.
GUGAAAUACCUGAAUGCUCACCCUGGAGUGGUUUUCAAAUGCUGCAGGAUAGCACAAUACAGGCUCAUCUGUUCUGCUCUCCCUUUCAUCACCUACACUGAGGCCAGAAGGUGCCAUGCUGCUUACAUGCAGAAGGAACAAUUAGUACAUGUCAGAAGUUUCUUGCUCAGUUCAAAAGACAGCAGCUCAACUGAAUGCUGCUAGACUGACAAACAGAUAAUGAAAGACUUGAGGUCAGGAGAGCAAUCCAGAGUUGUUCCCUGAGUACUGUCUUUAGGGAAAAAGCUGAGUGAUUAUGAUGAUGAUGAAUGGACCCAAACACCCUAAAUUAAACAAACUUUGUGCCUGAUAUAUAGAUGAAGAUGGUGUCAUCUUGAAGUCUUAAAAGCAUCAUGUAACCAUGAAGUGAUCAGUGAAAUCACUUAAAAAGAUCACUGAUCUUUUUAAAUGUUAAGAAAUUGGACUAUAAUGGGAUAGUUCACCCCCAAAUUUUAUUUUAUUUUCAUUUACUCAAACCCAUAUGACUUACUUUAUUACGUGGCACACAUCAAAUGCAAUUCACUUCCAUUGCAAUUUUUUUCAUACAUGGUGACAGAAGCAAUCAUUCAGCAUCCUUUAAUGUGCCACAGAAAAAAGUCAAA